Molecule: ribosomal RNA, 299 nt
Filed under: uncultured bacterium
Lineage: Bacteria
Description: partial 16S ribosomal RNA
Rfam family: Bacterial small subunit ribosomal RNA
Source: RNAcentral
AACGAACGCUGGCGGCAUGCCUAACACAUGCAAGUCGAACGAAGUCUUCGGACUUAGUGGCGCACGGGUGCGUAACGCGUGGGAAUCUGCCCUUGGGUUCGGAAUAACAGUGAGAAAUUACUGCUAAUACCGGAUGAUGACUUCGGUCCAAAGAGUUUAAUCGCCCAAGGAUGAGCCCGCGUAAGAUUAGCUAGUUGGUGAGGUAAAGGCUCACCAAGGCGACGAUCUUUAGCUGGUCUGAGAGGAUGAUCAGCCACACUGGGACUGAGACACGGCCCAGACUCCUACGGGAGGCAGCA